AGAGUUUGAUUCUGGCUCAGGAUGAACGCUGGCGGCGUGCCUAACACAUGCAAGUCGAGCGGGUAGGUACUUUAAUGAACCUUCGGGGGAUUUAAAGCACCGAAAGCGGCGGACGGGUGAGUAACGCGUGAGGAACCUGCCCUGUGCAGGGGGAUAGCCUCGGGAAACCGGGAUUAAUACCCCAUAAAACUCUAACACCGCAUGGUGUAUGAGUCAAAGCAAUAGCGGCACAGGAUGGCCUCGCGUCCCAUUAGCUAGUUGGUGAGGUAACGGCUCACCAAGGCGACGAUGGGUAGCCGGCCUGAGAGGGUGACCGGCCACACUGGGACUGAGACACGGCCCAGACUCCUACGGGAGGCAGCAGUGGGGAAUAUUGCACAAUGGGCGCAAGCCUGAUGCAGCGACGCCGCGUGAGCGAAGAAGGCCUUCGGGUCGUAAAGCUCUGUCCUAAGGGAAGAAUAAUGACGGUACCUUAGGAGGAAGCCCCGGCUAACUACGUGCCAGCAGCCGCGGUAAUACGUAGGGGGCGAGCGUUAUCCGGAAUCACUGGGCGUAAAGGGUGCGUAGGCGGCCUUGCAAGUCAGGAGUCAAAGCCCUCGGCUCAACCGAGGUAAGCUCUUGAAACUGUAAAGCUUGAGUGCAGGAGAGGAGAGCGGAAUUCCUAGUGUAACGGUGAAAUGCGUAGAAAUUAGGAGGAAAACCAGUGGCGAAGGCGGUCUUCUGGACUGUUACUGACGCUGAAGCCAGAAAGCGUGGGGAGCGAACAGGAUUAGAUACCCUGGUAGUCCACGCAGUAAACGAUGAGUACUAGGUGUGAGGGCGACAGUUCUUCAGUGCCGGAAGUUACACAAUAAGCACUCCGGCUGGGGAGUACGGUCGCAAGAUUGAAACUCAAAGGAAUUGACGGGGCCCGCCACAAGCAGCGGAGCAUGUGGUUUAAUUCGAAGCAACGCGAAGAACCUUACCAGGGCUUGACAUCCCUCGGACCGUCCUAGAGAUAGGACUUUCCCUUCGGGGACUGGGGUGACAGGUGGUGCAUGGUUGUCGUCAGCUCGUGUCGUGAGAUGUUGGGUUAAGUCCCGCAACGAGCGCAACCCUUGCCUUUAGUUGCCAUCAGUUAGGCUGGGCACUCUAAAGGGACUGCCGGUGACAAACCGGAGGAAGGUGGGGAUGACGUCAAAUCAUCAUGCCCCUUAUGUCCUGGGCUACACACGUGCUACAAUGGCCGGUACAAUGGGCAGCGAACCCGCGAGGGGGAGCGAAUCCCUAUAAGCCGGUCCCAGUUCGGAUUGCAGGCUGCAACUCGCCUGCAUGAAGUCGGAGUUGCUAGUAAUCGCGGAUCAGAAUGCCGCGGUGAAUACGUUCCCGGGCCUUGUACACACCGCCCGUCACACCAUGGGAGUUGGCAAUACCCGAAGCCGUCGGGCUAACCCUUUGGGAGGCAGACGUCGAAGGUAGGGCCAAUGACUGGGGUGAAGUCGUAACAAGGUAACCGU
This 1496-nucleotide ribosomal RNA is filed under the name uncultured bacterium. RNAcentral describes it as "bacterial SSU rRNA". It matches the Rfam family "Bacterial small subunit ribosomal RNA". The record is from RNAcentral.